Molecule: ribosomal RNA, 454 nt
Filed under: uncultured organism
Description: partial 16S ribosomal RNA
Rfam family: Bacterial small subunit ribosomal RNA
Source: RNAcentral
CGUACACUCCUACGGGAGGCAGCAGUGGGGAAUAUUGGACAAUGGGCGCAAGCCUGAUCCAGCCAUGCCGCGUGAGUGAUGAAGGCCCUAGGGUUGUAAAGCUCUUUCACCGGUGAAGAUAAUGACGGUAACCGGAGAAGAAGCCCCGGCUAACUUCGUGCCAGCAGCCGCGGUAAUACGAAGGGGGCCAGCGUUGUUCGGAUUUACUGGGCGUAAAGCGCACGUAGGCGGACUAUCAAGUCAGGGGUGAAAUCCCGGGGCUCAACCCCGGAACUGCCUUUGAUACUGGUAGUCUUGAGUUCGAGAGAGGUGGGUGGAAUUCCGAGUGUAGAGGUGAAAUUCGUAGAUAUUCGGAGGAACACCAGUGGCGAAGGCGGCUCACUGGCUCGAUACUGACGCUGAGGUGCGAAAGCGUGGGGAGCAAACAGGAUUAGAAACCCUGGUAGUCCCAUGA